GUGACUGAGUGGCGGACGGGUGAGUAACGCGUGGGUGACCUGCCCCAUACCGGGGGAUAACAGCUGGAAACGGCUGCUAAUACCGCAUAAGCGCACAGAGCUGCAUGGCUCGGUGUGAAAAACUCCGGUGGUAUGGGAUGGGCCCGCGUCUGAUUAGGCAGUUGGCGAGGUAACGGCCCACCAAGGCGACGAUCCAUAGCCGACCUGAGAGGGUGACCGGCCACAUUGGGACUGAGACACGGCCCAAACUCCUACGGGGGGCAGCAGUGGGGAAUAUUGCACAAUGGGCGAAAGCCUGAUGCAGCGACGCCGCGUGAGCGAAGAAGUAUUUCGGUAUGUAAAGCUCUAUCAGCAGGGAAGAUAAUGACGGUACCUGACUAAGAAGCACCGGCUAAAUACGUGCCAGCAGCCGCGGUAAUACGUAUGGUGCAAGCGUUAUCCGGAUUUACUGGGUGUAAAGGGAGCGCAGGCGGUGCGGCAAGUCUGAUGUGAAAGCCCGGGGCUCAACCCCGGUACUGCAUUGGAAACUGUCGUACUAGAGUGUCGGAGGGGUAAGCGGAAUUCCUAGUGUAGCGGUGAAAUGCGUAGAUAUUAGGAGGAACACCAGU
Molecule: ribosomal RNA, 608 nt
Filed under: uncultured Lachnospiraceae bacterium
Lineage: Bacteria; Bacillati; Bacillota; Clostridia; Lachnospirales; Lachnospiraceae
Description: bacterial SSU rRNA
Rfam family: Bacterial small subunit ribosomal RNA
Source: RNAcentral